Molecule: ribosomal RNA, 460 nt
Filed under: uncultured bacterium
Lineage: Bacteria
Description: partial 16S ribosomal RNA
Rfam family: Bacterial small subunit ribosomal RNA
Source: RNAcentral
CCUACGGGUGGCAGCAGUGAGGAAUAUUGGUCAAUGGGCGCAAGCCUGAACCAGCCAAGUCGCGUGAGGGAUGACGGUCCUAUGGAUUGUAAACCUCUUUUGUCGGGGAGCAAGGCCCGCCACGUGUGGCGGGAAGGAGAGUACCCGAAGAAAAAGCAUCGGCUAACUCCGUGUCAGCAGCCGCGGUAAUACGGAGGAUGCGAGCGUUAUCCGGAUUUAUUGGGUUUAAAGGGAGCGUAGGCGGGCGUUCAAGUCAGCUGUAAAAUCGCGCGGCUCAACCGCGCCCCGCAGUUGAAACUGGACGCCUUGAGUUCACAACAGGCAGGCGGAAUUCGUGGUGUAGCGGUGAAAUGCAUAGAUAUCACGAGGAACCCCGAUUGCGAAGGCAGCCUGCCGGGGUGCGACUGACGCUGAGGCUCGAAGGUGCGGGUAUCAAACAGGAUUAGAUACCCCAGUAGUC